RNAcentral lists this transfer-messenger RNA (399 nucleotides) under Bacteroidales bacterium. It matches the Rfam family "transfer-messenger RNA". Rfam says of the family: Bacterial tmRNA, also known as 10Sa RNA or SsrA, is named for its dual tRNA and mRNA-like properties. Its role is to liberate the mRNA from a stalled ribosome. To accomplish this part of the tmRNA is used as a reading frame that ends in a translation stop signal. Lineage: Bacteria; Pseudomonadati; Bacteroidota; Bacteroidia; Bacteroidales. The record is from RNAcentral.
GGGGCUGACCGGUUUUGACAGCGGGUAGAAUUGACGCGUAAGCAUGCAGAGAGAUGUCAUCUAUCUCUUUAAUCCAUGGUGGCACAAAUUUAGUUGGCGAAAAUAAUUACGCUCUUGCUGCUUAAUCGAAGUAUAGUAGAUAUAGCUUAAUUGCCGUCCAAGGAGAUGGCAACAAGACAUUGUCCGGAUGCUGUUGUUCCGAAGCGGUCCGAUUAGACAGUGCAGUAAUAUCGGAAAUAGUUCUUUUCUGCUUCGAGAAGAGAAUGAAAUUUUAGAAGAUAAGGCUUACAUUGGUGGCUUCGGUCUUGUGUAAGCACGAAAACCUAAGCGAAGAUAAGCAUGUAGAAAGCCCGUUUGUUCCCUGUUUGGACGAGAGUUCGAAUCUCUCCAGCUCCACUU